AUACGGAGGGGGCAAGCGUUGUUCGGAAUUACUGGGCGUAGAGGGCGCGCAGGCGGUUUUGUUAGUCAGGCGUGAAAUCCCCGGGCUCAACCCGGGAACUGCGUUUGAUACUGCGGAACUAGAGUUCGGGAGAGGGUAGUGGAAUUCCCAGUGUAGAGGUGAAAUUCGUAGAUAUUGGGAAGAACACCAGUGGCGAAGGCGGCUACCUGGACCGAUACUGACGCUGAGGCGCGAAAGCGUGGGGAGCAAACAGGAUUAGAAACCCCGGUAGUCC
This 274-nucleotide ribosomal RNA is filed under the name uncultured bacterium. RNAcentral's name for it is "partial 16S ribosomal RNA". It matches the Rfam family "Bacterial small subunit ribosomal RNA", at positions 523 to 796 of the family's 1533-position model. The record is from RNAcentral.